Molecule: transfer RNA, 74 nt
Filed under: Stylotermes sp. Chi-131
Lineage: Eukaryota; Metazoa; Arthropoda; Insecta; Blattodea; Stylotermitidae
Description: tRNA-Trp
Source: RNAcentral
UAGGCCUUAAGUUAACUAAACUAAUAUCCUUCAAAGCUAUAAAUAAAGGUUAUUCCGCAACCCUUUAGGUCUUG